AGCGAACGCUGGCGGCAGGCUUAACACAUGCAAGUCGAACGCCCCGCAAGGGGAGUGGCAGACGGGUGAGUAACACGUGGGAACGUACCCUUUGGUUCGGAAUAACUUGGGGAAACUCAAGCUAAUACCGGAUAAGCCCUUAUGGGGAAAGGUUUACUGCCGAAGGAUCGGCCCGCGUCUGAUUAGCUAGUUGGUGAGGUAAUGGCUCACCAAGGCGACGAUCAGUAGCUGGUCUGAGAGGAUGAUCAGCCACACUGGGACUGAGACACGGCCGAGACUCCCACGGGGGGCAGCAGUGGGGAAUAUGGGAAAAGGGGGGCAACCCUGAUCCAGCCAUGCCGCGUGAGGAAUGAAGCCUUUAGGGUUGUAAAGCUCUUUUACCCGGGACGAUAAGGACGGUCCCGGGAGAAUAAGCCCCGGCUAACUUCGUGCCAGCCGCCGCGGUAA
Molecule: ribosomal RNA, 447 nt
Filed under: uncultured bacterium
Lineage: Bacteria
Description: partial 16S ribosomal RNA
Rfam family: Bacterial small subunit ribosomal RNA
Source: RNAcentral